AUGUUUCCUUUAUAUAUGGAACCAUAUUUUCCGGCACCAAUCAGAUUGGCAGGUGCAAAGCCAUCUGUAGCUUCAAACAUUUCAUGGUAUGUAACUCUGGGAUACUUUUCACCCAACAUACCGAGGCCAGCAAUUUUCAUCCUGUCCACUGUCAUUUUCCGCCUGAACAUAAAGAUUGCACACAGUAAACAUACAUAUGCAUGUAGCAAUGCCGGCAACUGGAAGCAGAAUACUAGGCAGCAAUUGUUGUUUCUUCUUAUGCAGCUUUACCUGUCAUGGAGGCAAUUUCAGUUCUGGAAUGCCACCACAAAGCCCACUGUUGUCAACUAUUGA
This 333-nucleotide ribosomal RNA is filed under the name Triticum aestivum (bread wheat). RNAcentral describes it as "partial small subunit ribosomal RNA". The record is from RNAcentral. Lineage: Eukaryota; Viridiplantae; Streptophyta; Magnoliopsida; Poales; Poaceae.